CAAAUACUCCCUCUGUCCGGAAAUACUUGUCAUCAAAAUGGAUAAAAGGAAAUGUAUCUAGACGUAUUUUAGUUUUAGAUACAUCUCUUUUUAUCCAUUUUGAUGACAAGUAUUUUCGGACGGAGGGAGUAGAAA
Non-coding RNA from Triticum aestivum (bread wheat), 135 nucleotides. Lineage: Eukaryota; Viridiplantae; Streptophyta; Magnoliopsida; Poales; Poaceae. The record is from Rfam.